AUCACUAAGCGGAGGAAAAGAAAUUAACUAAGAUUGCCUCAGUAACGGCGAGUGAAGCGGCAAGAGCCCACCAUGAAAAUCUUCACGCAUUUCGCGUGACGAGUUGUAGGGUAAAGGGUGGUUGCUCAACUGGCGUGGGCGCAGAAGUGCCUUAGAACAGGCGGCCAAAGAGGGUGACAGCCCCGUAUGUGGUGCCCACACCUAACGAGUGAUUGUCCGAAGAGUCGGGUUGUUUUGUAUUGCAGCCCUAAUUGGGAGAUAAACUUCUUCUAAGGCUAAAUACUUACGGGAAACCGAUAGCGAACAAGUACUGUGAAGGAAAGAUGAAAAGAACUUUGAAAAGAGAGUCAAAAGACUUGAAAUCGUUGAAAAGGAAGCGGUGGAAAUUUAUUCUUCGGCGAUGACCUAUGGUAGUUGUCUAACUUCGUAUGCGGCUCGAUACGUCAAUGGUCGGUUGCAUGCUCAAGGGAAACGACUGCUUCGUUCUUCGUCGUGAGGCAAAAUGGAGUUGCUCGCCUUCAGAGGCUUGUUAGGGCUGGCUUGAUUCGUCUUGCACCCUGGCUGUGCCGGAGGGUGAGUGGCUUGAGGGGCUUUGUGCGAUUUUGCCAAAAUGGUUUUUACCGACCCGUCUUGAAACACGGACCAAGGAGUCUAACAUGUAUGCGAGUAUGCUGGUGGAGAAACCAACAUGCACAACUAACGUGAGCGAUGCCAAGCGCAAGCAGCAGCAUCGGCCGACCAUGAUUCUCUGAUGAAAGGAUCGCGCAAGAGCAUACCUGUUAGGACCCGAAAGAUGGUGAACUAUGCCUGAGCAGGGUGAAGCCAGGGGAAACUCUGGUGGAGGCUCGUAGCGACACUGACGUGCAAAUCGUUCGUCUGACUUGGGUAUAGGGGCGAAAGACUAAUCGAACCAUCUAGUAGCUGGUUCCCUCCGAAGUUUCCCUCAGGAUAGCAAGGACAAUUAUGCAGUUUUAUUAGGUAAAGCGAAUGAUUAGAGGCCUCGGGGAUCCAGCAUCCUCGACCUAUUCUCAAACUUUAAAUUGGUAAGAACCCUGGCCUUCCUUAAUUGAGGCGCAGGGGCUCAAUGCGUGUCCUUAGUGGGCCAUUUUUGGUAAGCAGAACUGGCGAUGAGGGGUGCUCCUAACGUCGAGUUAAGGUGCCGAAGUGCACGCUCAUCAGACACUACAAAGGGUGUUGGUUCAUAAAGACAGCAGGACGGUGGCCAUGGAAGUCGGAAUCCGCUAAGGAGUGUGUAACAACUCACCUGCCGAAUGAACUAGCCCCGAAAAUGGAUGGCGCUUAAGCGUGCGACCGAUACUCGACCAUUGCGGCGAGAGUGAGGCUGCAAUGAGUAGGAGGGCGUGAGCGUUGUUGUGAAGCCUCUGACGUGAGUCUGGGUUGAACAGCGUUUAGUGCGGAUCUUGGUGGUAGUAGCAAUUAUUCAAAUGAGAACUUUGAAGGCCGAAGUGGAGAAGGUUUCCGUGAGAACAGCAAUUGGUCACGGGUGACUCGAUCCUAAGACAUGGGGGAAAUCCUUGUUAAGUGCGCCAUUUGGUGCGAAGUCGAAAGGGAAUGAGGUUAAUAUUCCUCAAGCUGGAUGUGGAUAUUGUAUGGCAACAUCAAUGAGCUCAGAGACGCCAGCGUGAGCCUCUGGAAGAGUUCUCUUUUCUUUUUAACAGACUAGCGACCUUGAAAUUGGAUUACCCAGAGCUAAGGUUGUACGUCUGGAAGAGCACCUCGCUUUUCGAGGUGUCAGGUGCGCUCACGAUGGUCCUUGAAAAUCUGAGUGAGAGUUUUAUUUCACACCAGGUCGUACCCAUAACCGC
This 1826-nucleotide ribosomal RNA is filed under the name Trachelostyla pediculiformis. Its description in RNAcentral is "eukaryotic LSU rRNA". It matches the Rfam family "Eukaryotic large subunit ribosomal RNA", at positions 42 to 1857 of the family's 3401-position model. Lineage: Eukaryota; Ciliophora; Spirotrichea; Sporadotrichida; Trachelostylidae. The record is from RNAcentral.